GCUCCGGUAGCCUAAUGAUUAGAGCAUCCGCCUCGGAUGCUGGAGGUCGUGGGUUCGAUCCCCGGUCGGGUCA
Molecule: non-coding RNA, 73 nt
Organism: Potamilus streckersoni
Lineage: Eukaryota; Metazoa; Mollusca; Bivalvia; Unionida; Unionidae
Source: the annotation of a GenBank genome assembly